Cydia splendana is the source of this 242-nucleotide long non-coding RNA. RefSeq lists it as uncharacterized. NCBI's taxonomy places the organism in Eukaryota, Metazoa, Arthropoda, Insecta, Lepidoptera, Tortricidae. The transcript is spliced from 2 exons. The record is from RefSeq and is a predicted model, not a curated record.
GUAGCUACCUUCAAAUAGUGCUGGAUGGAUUUCAGACUGGGCGGACAUUCCGGAAUAUUUGCCAUCUUGACACUUUAGACGGAGGCGCCUAAAUCACUAUUCAAAUAUGUUAUAGAAUAUGAUGUAUACAAACAACUCUGAAUUUACGUGUUAGACAUGAACAUAAUAAUUAUUAAAACAUUAAAAGAAAGAUAAGAAUAUGAAUAGUACUAUGAAUAAUAUGAAUGACGUCAUGAACAAAA